Vicugna pacos (alpaca) is the source of this 5258-nucleotide non-coding RNA. Lineage: Eukaryota; Metazoa; Chordata; Mammalia; Artiodactyla; Camelidae. The record is from RefSeq and is a predicted model, not a curated record.
GGAGGUCAGGGCUAGGGUGGUGUGUGUGUGUGUGUGUGUGUGGUGUGUGGGAGGUAGCAGCUUUAAAGGUCAUCUGCAGGAAGGAAAAGAAGGUCCCAUCCUCCUCUGACCUCCCCCCCCCAUCUCGUCCUAAUGACUCAGGCCUCAGCUCUCACUUAGGGCAGAAGACACAUGCCCCCACCCCAGGCCUGGCAUGUGGACUGAACUGCAGUACAUGGGUGGGGAGAAUGGACAUGAGGACAGGGACGCAGCAGGCUAAGUGCUCCAACUACCUCCCAUGUGCCCCCUUACCUAUCCCCAAAUGGCACUUCUCAACCCUAGGGCCUACCCUCCUUCUCUCGCAGAUGGGAACCUAUAACCCUGUGCACACCUCCUGGGGCUCAGUGACCUUCCCAGCCCCUUGCUCCAUGCCCGCUGCUCUCUGGGACGCAGUCUGACUUCAGGUGGAGGGGGCAAAGAGGCACCUGCUCCAGCGCAGCGCGGGAGUGCCCGUGGGUUCAGCACCACGCGGCGGACAGCUCCGGGCCCGUGGCCCUAAGGAGUCGGAGGGGAGAAGUGGAGGAAUCCAGAGGGAGGCGGAGGCCGGGUUGGGCGCGGGAGAUCAGGAGUUGGGAGGAACGGAGGAGGGGCUGGGGGCGGGCCGGGGCCGGGGGCGGGGCGGGCCGCGAUUGAAAGCAGCUGGGCGAGCAGGCGGGCCGAGAGAUCAGAGACGCGGAGCCAGCGAGCCAGCGAGCUAGCCAGCUAGCCGGAGCUGGAACCCCACGCUCCCGGCUCCUCCGUUUUUUCUCCGCGCCUGAGCCGGGCGCGCAAGGUAGGGUAAGCCGGGUGGUGCCGCGGCCGCCGCCGACCUUAUUGAUCCUGACCCCGUGUCCCAGAGUCCCGCGGACCCUUGGGUUCUGAGGUGCCCGGGCCGGGACUGGCCCAAGCGUCCAGACAGCGCUCUCCAGGAGCUCCGGGAAGCGGGAAGACAGCCCCAGGCGUCCCACCUUUCUUUCCCAGAGAACGCAUGCCCUGCAACGCGCUUCCUCGUUCCUCCUGCCCCUCUGUCCUUUGGUCAGUCUUUCUGUCUGUGCCUCUGUCUUUGUCUCAGCCUCUCAGGCUCCAUCGCUCCCUGCCGGAAUUUUGUGGCCCAGGCCCCCAGGCUGCCCCUCCCAGGGUUCCAUCUCCAUGGUCCUGUCCCUAUCAGAGCUUUGGUCCCAGCUGCCCUGUGGGAGGCUUGCGGUCUUGACUGGUAAGGGCCUCAGCCCCCAUCUGAGUCCCUGUCUCCAUCUGCGUUGGUCUUCACGCUUGCCUCUCCUUUUUGCCUGGUUGAGCUGUUUCUUCCUGAGUAUCCACAGGAUCCCAGUCCCCCUGGCCUGACUCAGCCUCAGCAGGAGAUUAACCGUGGGGAGCUGAGGGGACAAAGUGAAGAGCCCAGUCUCUGUGUCCAGGAUGUGGGGUCCCUGAACGAGUUUUGCCCUUCUUCAGGCUCAGUUUCCCUCUCCUAGUCUCCCUAAACCUGUGUGAUUGUGACAGCCCUUGUGGGGUAGGUGUCUGGGAGAGCAGCUGGGGCACAAAUGAUGGGUGCAGAGUGAAAGAAGGAGGCGAGGGUCUCUGAGGGCCAGAGCCAGGGUGGACAGGGCCCUGAGGCUGAGGACGGGGAGACUGGAGAUGAUGACUUUUCUGCUUGUUUCUGAGCUGAAGAGAAAACGGGAAGCCAAAAGUCUCAGUGUUCUACGUAGAGCUAAGGUUUACAUAUUUUUGACUAGAUGAACUGACCCCCAUUCCUGACACAUACAUACACUCACAUCUACUUUCCUUGUUGACUUUAGGACCUGUGGCCACUUCAGUGUCCCUCCUUGGGGCCAGACUCUCUACCUUGCUGUCUAACUUCCAGGAGCUAGAAUCUCUAUUACUUCCUCAGUCAGGGGGCUUUGAGGAUGGCUUUUUAAGAACCAGAGGCUGGGACCCUGGGGUGUUCACCUGGUCUCCAGUCUCCCUAGGAGUUGGAGAAUAACUACUCUUUAAAGACUCUUCCUUCCCUCUUCCCUGGUGGGUUCUCAGCCAGCAAUGUCUCCUCUCUGGAAAUCCAAAGCUCAGGAUGGGGACUGGACCCAUCCCCUAAGUUUGUAACUGUUAUUUUAUGCUGCAAAGCUGUUGACUCUGGGGUUCUAGGAGAUUUGUGUAGGUUGUUGGACAUUCUGUGACUCACAGUGGGAUUGGUGUUGGCUGAGGUCUCCUGUCUUCCGUCUCUGCAGUCCUCCAACUCUGCUAAGUUUGGGAUGGGCACAGAGCCCAUCUCCAGCCCCAGAUCAGGGCAGGGCUGAGAGGCAGGCCUCGGGGAUGUCCCAGGAGCUUCUCAUUCUAGUUAGUGAUACCACCUCUCCCUGGUUCCUCAGUCCCUGUGAAAGGAGCUUGGGGGAGGCAGAGUCAGAGGGGUAGUCACUCUCAGGUUCCACUUUUCCCUAUCUGUCUGUCUGUCUCUCUCUUUCUCUGCAGGAGCUGGGUCCCUCCUCACCCUCUUCCUGUCUGUCCUUUCCUGGUCCAUUUCCACCUCUCUUUGCCUUUGCUGCUUCUACCCUCAUCCCCUAGAGGCCCAGGUCUGCUGGACCCAUCCAUCCCCUUUGUGGCCAUGGGAUCACUGCUUGGGCUUCUGGCUCUGCUGCUGCUGUGGGGCGCUGUGGCUGAGGGCCCAGCCAAGAAGGUGCUGACCCUGGAGGGGGACCUGGUUCUGGGUGGGCUGUUUCCGGUACACCAGAAGGGCGGCCCGGCAGAGGAGUGUGGUCCUGUCAAUGAACAUCGUGGCAUCCAGCGCCUGGAGGCCAUGCUUUUUGCGCUGGACCGUAUCAACCGUGACCCAAGCCUGCUACCGGGUGUGCGCCUAGGUGCGCACAUACUCGACAGCUGCUCCAAAGACACACACGCUCUGGAGCAGGCCCUUGACUUCGUGCGUGCCUCACUCAGCCGGGGUGCCGAUGGCUCACGCCACAUUUGCCCCGACGGCUCUUAUGCCACCCACGGUGAUGCUCCCACUGCCAUAACUGGUGUAAUUGGCGGCUCCUACAGCGAUGUCUCCAUCCAGGUGGCCAACCUCCUGCGACUAUUUCAGAUCCCACAGAUCAGCUAUGCCUCCACCAGUGCCAAGCUGAGUGACAAGUCUCGCUAUGACUACUUUGCCCGCACGGUGCCCCCUGACUUCUACCAAGCCAAAGCCAUGGCUGAGAUUCUCCGCUUCUUCAACUGGACCUAUGUGUCCACUGUGGCAUCCGAGGGUGACUAUGGCGAGACAGGCAUCGAAGCAUUCGAGCUAGAGGCCCGUGCCCGCAACAUCUGUGUGGCCACCUCGGAGAAGGUGGGCCGCGCGAUGAACCGGGCAGCCUUCGAGGGUGUGGUGCGGGCCCUGCUGCAGAAGCCCAGUGCCCGCGUGGCUGUCCUGUUCACCCGUUCCGAGGACGCCCGCGAGCUCCUUGCUGCCACCCAGCGCCUCAACGCCAGCUUCACCUGGGUGGCCAGUGAUGGCUGGGGGGCCCUGGAGAGCGUGGUGGCAGGCAGCGAGGGUGCUGCUGAAGGUGCCAUCACCAUCGAGCUGGCUUCCUACCCCAUCAGCGAUUUUGCCUCCUACUUCCGGAGCCUGGACCCCUGGAACAAUAGCCGGAACCCCUGGUUCCGUGAGUUCUGGGAGCAGAGAUUCCACUGUAGCUUCCGGCAGCGAGACUGUGCAGCCCACUCCCUGCAGGCUGUGCCCUUUGAACAAGAGUCCAAGAUCAUGUUUGUGGUCAAUGCGGUGUAUGCCAUGGCCCACGCGCUGCACAACAUGCAUCGUGCCCUCUGCCCCAACACCACCCGCCUCUGUGAUGCAAUGCGGCCAGUCAAUGGACGCCGCCUCUACAAAGACUUCGUUCUCAACGUCAAGUUUGAUGCCCCCUUCCGCCCAGCUGACACCCACAGUGAGGUCCGCUUCGACCGCUUUGGUGACGGUAUCGGUCGCUACAACAUCUUCACCUAUCUGCGGGCAGGCAGUGGGCGCUAUCGCUACCAGAAGGUGGGCUACUGGGCAGAAGGCCUGACCCUGGACACCAGCCUCAUCCCAUGGGCCUCCGCCUCAGCCGGGCCCCUGCCCGCCUCUCGCUGCAGUGAGCCCUGCCUGCAGAACGAGGUGAAGAGCGUGCAGCCGGGGGAGGUCUGCUGCUGGCUCUGCAUCCCCUGCCAGCCCUAUGAGUACCGGCUGGAUGAGUUCACCUGUGCUGACUGUGGCCUGGGCUACUGGCCCAACGCCAGCCUGACAGGCUGCUUCGAGCUGCCCCAGGAGUACAUCCGCUGGGGCGAUGCCUGGGCCGUAGGACCCGUCACCAUCGCCUGCCUGGGGGCCCUGGCCACCGUCUUUGUGCUAGGUGUCUUCGUACGGCACAAUGCCACACCAGUGGUCAAGGCCUCGGGCCGGGAGCUUUGCUACAUCCUGCUGGGUGGCGUCUUCCUCUGCUAUUGCAUGACCUUCGUCUUCAUUGCCAAGCCGUCCACAGUGGUGUGCACCUUACGGCGCCUCGGUUUGGGCACUGCCUUCUCCGUCUGCUACUCAGCCCUGCUCACCAAGACCAACCGCAUUGCGCGCAUUUUCGGAGGGGCCCGGGAGGGAGCCCAGCGGCCGCGCUUCAUCAGCCCUGCCUCCCAGGUGGCCAUCUGCCUGGCCCUGAUCUCAGGCCAGCUGCUCAUUGUGGUUGCCUGGCUGGUGGUGGAGGCACCAGGCACGGGCAAGGAGACAGCCCCUGAGCGGCGUGAGGUGGUGACAUUGCGCUGCAACCACCGCGACGCCAGCAUGCUGGGCUCACUGGCCUACAACGUUCUCCUCAUCGCACUCUGCACACUCUAUGCCUUCAAGACCCGCAAGUGCCCUGAGAACUUCAAUGAGGCCAAGUUCAUCGGCUUCACCAUGUACACCACCUGCAUCAUCUGGCUGGCCUUCCUGCCCAUCUUCUAUGUCACCUCCAGUGACUACCGGAUGAAGAAACGGAGGCUCAGGGAGGUUCAAUCCCUUGCCUAAGGUCUCUCAGCUUGGGAGUAUAGAGCAGGGUCUGAAUUGACAAUCUUAACAAUUAAAGAAGCAGGAAAAUCAAGGCAAGAGCCUCUGCAAAGGCCCUUUCCCUCAGGACAGAGGUACAGACCACCACCAUGUGUGUGUCGGUCAGCCUCAGCGGCUCCGUGGUGCUCGGCUGUCUCUUUGCGCCCAAGCUGCACAUCAUCCUCUUCCAGCCGCAAAAGAACGUGGUUAGCCACCGUGCACC